This 97-nucleotide transfer RNA is filed under the name Chloroflexota bacterium. RNAcentral's name for it is "Chloroflexi bacterium (hydrothermal vent metagenome) tRNA-Sec". It matches the Rfam family "Selenocysteine transfer RNA". The record is from RNAcentral. Lineage: Bacteria; Bacillati; Chloroflexota.
GGGGGUAGAAGGGGCCCGGUGGCCCCCCCGGUCUUCAAAACCGCGUGGCGGGCGUCCUCAGGACGGCCGCGGUGGGUUCGACUCCCAUCUACCCCCG